Molecule: ribosomal RNA, 153 nt
Filed under: Agroathelia rolfsii
Lineage: Eukaryota; Fungi; Basidiomycota; Agaricomycetes; Amylocorticiales; Amylocorticiaceae
Description: Athelia rolfsii 5.8S rRNA
Rfam family: 5.8S ribosomal RNA
About the family: 5.8S ribosomal RNA (5.8S rRNA) is a component of the large subunit of the eukaryotic ribosome.
Source: RNAcentral
CAACUUUCAACAACGGAUCUCUUGGCUCUUGCAUCGAUGAAGAACGCAGCGAAAUGCGAUAAGUAAUGUGAAUUGCAGAAUCCAGUGAAUCAUCGAAUCUUUGAACGCACCUUGCGCCCUUUGGUAUUCCGAGGGGCAUGCUGUUUGAGAGUC